RNAcentral lists this ribosomal RNA (315 nucleotides) under Triticum aestivum (bread wheat). RNAcentral describes it as "partial small subunit ribosomal RNA". The record is from RNAcentral. Lineage: Eukaryota; Viridiplantae; Streptophyta; Magnoliopsida; Poales; Poaceae.
AUGUGCAUACCAAAGAAAAAUGGUGGGAUGGGUUUUAGAUAUAUUCAUUGCUUUAAUCUUGCCCUAUCGGCCAAACAAGUAUGGCGUUUAAUUGAUAAUCCAGAUUCCCUUUGCGAUGUGAUUUUGAAGUCUAAAUACUUUCCGGAUGGUGAUCUCUUGAGUGCUACUCUAGAAAAGAAAGCAUUUUAUACCUAGCAGAGUAUUAUGGCAGGAGUAGAGACCCUGGGUCGUGGACAUAUUUGGAGAAUCAGAGAUGGGGAAAAGUUAAAAUAUGGGACGAUGCUUGGGUACCUCACUCUCCAUCUAAAGAGGUAA